RNAcentral lists this microRNA (20 nucleotides) under Ciona intestinalis (vase tunicate). Its description in RNAcentral is "cin-miR-4008b-5p". The record is from miRBase by way of RNAcentral. Lineage: Eukaryota; Metazoa; Chordata; Ascidiacea; Phlebobranchia; Cionidae.
UGGCAGUGAUCGCAAGUUAG